ACCUCUAGCAUAACUAGUAUUAGAGGCACUGCCUGCCCAGUGACCAUGUUAAACGGCCGCGGUAUCCUGACCGUGCAAAGGUAGCAUAAUCACUUGUUCUCUAAAUAAGGACUAGUAUGAAUGGCUAAACGAGGACUUUACUGUCUCUCAUCUGUAAUCAGUGAAAUUGACCUUCCCGUGAAAAGGCGGGAAUAAUAAAAUAAGACGAGAAGACCCUAUGGAGCUUCAAUUAUCAGCUUAAAAUUAUCCACACACACUUCUAAGGAAAUAAAAACUAAUUAUAUAAGCAACUAAUUUUGGUUGGGGUGACCUCGGAGAAAAAAAUAACCUCCGAGCGGUUUAAAUCCAGACUGACAAGUCUAAAUAAUCCAUCAAUUGAUCCAAUAUUUGAUCAACGGAACAAGUUACCCUAGGGAUAACAGCGCAAUCCUAUUCAAGAGUCCCUAUCGACAAUAGGGUUUACGACCUCGAUGUUGGAUCAAGACAUCCCAAUGGCGCAGCUGCUAUUAAC
Molecule: ribosomal RNA, 511 nt
Filed under: Smutsia gigantea (giant pangolin)
Lineage: Eukaryota; Metazoa; Chordata; Mammalia; Pholidota; Manidae
Description: Manis gigantea (giant pangolin) partial 16S ribosomal RNA
Rfam family: Bacterial large subunit ribosomal RNA
Source: RNAcentral